UACGUAGGGGGCAAGCGUUGUUCGGAAUGACUGGGCGUAAAGGGUGCGUAGGCGGUGUAGCAAGUUAGAAGUGAAAUACCUAGAGCUUAACUCAGGUGCUGCUUCUAAAACUGCUAUACUUGAGUGCAGUAGAGGAAAGUGGAAUUCCUAGUGUAGCGGUGGAAUGCGUAGAUAUUAGGAGGAACACCAGUGGCGAAGGCGGCUUACUGGACUGUAACUGACGUUGAGGCUCGAAAGCGUGGGGAGCAAACAGG
This 254-nucleotide ribosomal RNA is filed under the name uncultured bacterium. RNAcentral describes it as "partial 16S ribosomal RNA". It matches the Rfam family "Bacterial small subunit ribosomal RNA", at positions 524 to 776 of the family's 1533-position model. The record is from RNAcentral.